UACCUCAAGUCACCAUUGUACCCGGUACAGGUGUCUCUUACACAAGGCAACGGACAGGGGGGUGAUACAAUGGGACAAUGAAUGGUUCAAGCUUGUCAACCCCUUCUGGACCCAGACCUCACCUCCCUUCCUGUGGAAGUGAAACCAGCUGCCUGUAUCUGCAUGUUCUACCCAAUCCAUCGGGACAGAGAAGAGGGAAAGAUUGUUUCUGUAGUCAGUAACAUCUGAAUGCUGUUGGAUGAGGUAACCUUGGCAUUGCCAUGGAGACAUGUUUUCUAGCUGCGCCUGCAUCAUGAAACUGCACACUGAGUUAUUGCUCAUCUGCAGCUGGACGUCCA
Molecule: long non-coding RNA, 338 nt
Filed under: Cavia porcellus (domestic guinea pig)
Lineage: Eukaryota; Metazoa; Chordata; Mammalia; Rodentia; Caviidae
Description: lncRNA (ENSCPOG00000031242.1)
Source: RNAcentral